This 439-nucleotide ribosomal RNA is filed under the name uncultured bacterium. RNAcentral describes it as "partial 16S ribosomal RNA". It matches the Rfam family "Bacterial small subunit ribosomal RNA", at positions 339 to 795 of the family's 1533-position model. The record is from RNAcentral.
CUACGGGGUGCUCCAGUGGGGAAUAUUGCACAAUGGAGGAAACUCUGAUGCAGCAACGCCGCGUGGAGGAUGACACUUUUCGGAGCAUAAACUCCUUUUAUAUAGGAAGAAGAUGACGGUACUAUAUGAAUAAGCGCCGGCUAACUCCGUGCCAGCAGCCGCGGUAAUACGGAGGGCGCAAGCGUUACUCGGAAUCACUGGGCGUAAAGAGCGUGUAGGCGGAUUAAAAAGUCAGAAGUGAAAUCCUAUAGCUUAACUAUAGAACUGCUUCUGAAACUCUUAAUCUAGAAUAUGGGAGAGGUAGAUGGAAUUUCUGGUGUAGGGGUAAAAUCCGUAGAGAUCAGAAGGAAUACCGAUUGCGAAGGCGAUCUACUAGAACAUUAUUGACGCUGAGACGCGAAAGCGCGGGGAGCAAACAGGAUUAGAUACCCGCGUAGUC